AACCAUCACUCACUCUUUUUCCCCCUUUCUUUGUUGCAGUAUAUAUUCAGAAUUUUUCAUGCAUCAUAUAUAAUAUAUCUUUCUUCAAUUGCACCUGGCUUAUUAAAGCAGAAGCUCCUGAAGAUAUUCAGAUAUUUUUUUCAUACAGGUAAUGGUCUUGUGCAAAAUAACUAUGAAGCUAUGCUUUUGUACCUAAGUCCUUGAUUUACAAGACUCAUAUUUCCUUCUCACAGACACGUAGGAAAAGAUUUUGAAUGCCAGCAAUAUAUAAAAAAUGCAAGGAAGAAAAAUAUUGGAUGCCAUAUGAAAGAAAUAUAUUUCCAACCAUCAAGAAAAAUCAAUUUAAACAUAACCAUAAGACAUCUGAGACAUAAUUCAGGAGGCCUGUCUUAUUACAAAGCUUUUACACCUCAGACAAUAGAGAAACUGAACCCGCCUAUCAACGUCUCUGUUUCCCUUGAAAACGGAAGUAUUAAAAUUCACUGGAAACCCCCGCCUACUAUUGGUUCUGCAAGUAGCAAGUGCUUUUUGUAUCAAGUGAAAAUAACAGAUCGUAAGAUUGUAGAUGUCACUGCAGAGAAAUACGAGUCUCCAUUUCAUAAACCAGCAAAAAAAUGUGCAGUACAAGUGAGGGUAAAGAAAGAGGUAUGCAUAAGAAACAAGAUUUGGAGUGAAUGGAGUGAACCAGUGUUUAUUCACAAUGGUAAGUUAUCACGUAUUUACUAUUCAUAACCGUUAUCAUAUGUUAUUACCAUUCAAUGUAUUUACUUCAUUAUUGUGCCUGUUUU
This 788-nucleotide long non-coding RNA is filed under the name Calidris pugnax (ruff). RNAcentral's name for it is "lncRNA (ENSCPUG00000006995.1)". The record is from RNAcentral. Lineage: Eukaryota; Metazoa; Chordata; Aves; Charadriiformes; Scolopacidae.